This 509-nucleotide ribosomal RNA is filed under the name uncultured Burkholderia sp. RNAcentral describes it as "bacterial SSU rRNA". It matches the Rfam family "Bacterial small subunit ribosomal RNA", at positions 149 to 653 of the family's 1533-position model. The record is from RNAcentral. Lineage: Bacteria; Pseudomonadati; Pseudomonadota; Betaproteobacteria; Burkholderiales; Burkholderiaceae.
CUGCGAAAGCCGGAUUAAUACCGCAUACGAUCUACGGAUGAAAGCGGGGGACCUUCGGGCCUCGCGCUAUAGGGUUGGCCGAUGGCUGAUUAGCUAGUUGGUGGGGUAAAGGCCUACCAAGGCGACGAUCAGUAGCUGGUCUGAGAGGACGACCAGCCACACUGGGACUGAGACACGGCCCAGACUCCUACGGGAGGCAGCAGUGGGGAAUUUUGGACAAUGGGCGCAAGCCUGAUCCAGCAAUGCCGCGUGUGUGAAGAAGGCCUUCGGGUUGUAAAGCACUUUUGUCCGGAAAGAAAACCUCGUGGUUAAUACCCGUGGGGGAUGACGGUACCGGAAGAAUAAGCACCGGCUAACUACGUGCCAGCAGCCGCGGUAAUACGUAGGGUGCAAGCGUUAAUCGGAAUUACUGGGCGUAAAGCGUGCGCAGGCGGUUCGCUAAGACAGAUGUGAAAUCCCCGGGCUUAACCUGGGAACUGCAUUUGUGACUGGCGAGCUAGAGUAUGGCA